Molecule: transfer RNA, 63 nt
Filed under: Camelus bactrianus (Bactrian camel)
Lineage: Eukaryota; Metazoa; Chordata; Mammalia; Artiodactyla; Camelidae
Also listed under: 1 other name
Rfam family: tRNA
About the family: Transfer RNA (tRNA) molecules are approximately 80 nucleotides in length.
Source: Rfam by way of RNAcentral
GAGGGUAUAGCUCAGUGGUAGAGAGUGAGCACGAGGGCCUGGGUUCAAUCCCCAGUACCUCCA